Molecule: long non-coding RNA, 2141 nt
Organism: Nothobranchius furzeri (turquoise killifish)
Lineage: Eukaryota; Metazoa; Chordata; Actinopteri; Cyprinodontiformes; Nothobranchiidae
Source: Ensembl
AUGAUCGCUGCAGACUUUGGUGAAGUGCAGAUUAAGGGUGCAAUGGGGGCGUGGUCAACUUCCGUACUUGAGAAUCGGAACAACUGCACUCGCACCCCUGGCCAGGAAUGUGAAAUUGAAGGGCGCAAGGGUGGUGGUGGUGGGGUGACUGGGAAGGAGGGGGUGGGAGAGGGGAAACCUCCUCCUCUGUCUGACUACACAGCCUAUUUCAGUUUUAUGAAAACCAGUAAACAAGCAAGCAAAAGGCAAUCAAGAGCCCUUUUAAAGAUGACAGGGAUGUAAACAAGCAGCCCAGGAUGCUCUUGAGCUUGUACCGUUACAGAUGUUCAACACCCUAAAUGUGUGGAUGCUGCAGGAGCUAGAAGAAGACAGCAGAAGGAACUUUUCAUUAGCCAAACAAAAACAGGAAAAGCUGUCCUGGACGUCUCACUAAAACAGAGACAUCUGCAUGGAUGUUUGUUCGGCUGCUCCCCAAAGUGGGACUUUUUUAUAUUCACACACACACACACACACACACACACAAAUAAAACACCCUCUGUCAGUGACAAUGGUUAGGAAAGGAAGUGGAACAGUAGAUUUUUCCCCUACUUGCUCUUUUAGCUUCCUGGACAGAUGUAGAGCAAAUGAAAGGGAACCCACGUUGUGUUUAAUGACCAACUGGCUCCAAAAAUCAGACAGCAGGAUGUUGUGAAGCCAACCUUCAGCAACAGAGACUACCUCACAGUUCUAUGAAUAAAACAUCCACAUCCUACGUGUGAUAUUUUUCUUAUUGAAGUUUAAAAACACACGUUGAAUGUGGACUUCUGCUCCGCGGCGCGCACUGCAGUGAGUGACCGUAUAGUCCACAGUCAUUCUGCGGCUGUGCGUCCUCUCAGCACCAUGUGCUUUGUGCACAUUUCAAUCUUUAGGCUAAAAUAAAAUAAAAAUAGAUUUAAAAAACUGCCUCGCAAACGCACGGACACAAUUCAUGCUGUGUGCAAAAUGCGUAAAAUGUGGAGCAUUAGAAUAAAAGAUCAACGCGGCUGCUGCUCCUGUAAACCGAAAGGAUCAACCUGCUUUGGACUGAACCCGCAGGUUCAGCCCAGCCUGCACACGGUGAUAAUGAAUAACAGCAGUAAUAAUAAUGAUGCUAAUAACAUGGUUUAUUCUAACAAGAGGCUCCGGCGCUCCUCACUUCAAGCGCUCCCUCUCUCUCUCUCUAUUGUUGAGAAACAAUCUGAGCCAAAGUGGAAACAAAACCAGACGAGCGCGAGGAAAUAAUAAGCAAGUGUGCAGCCACUCACCGGGUUACGAAGCGCAGAAAGUCCUCCGUAAAUGUCGCUUCUUGUUUUAUUUUUCCUCUCUCUCCUUUUAAAUCUCUUCCCCUCUCGCGGCCGCUCAGAAUGGGCUCAACGUCAGCGGCUGAGUAACUGAAUAGACUUGGAGAGAGCGCAGUAAGUUGAAGUGUCAAAUUACAUUGGCUAUUCUAUUACCGAAGAGACCGUGCUCGGUGGCUGCUGACAAAAUGUGUCGCGGAUUUCCUUCUUUGGGUUUCUUCCCCCCCACCCCCACCCCACGCCCCCUCGCUCUUUCUCAGACCACGGGAACUGCUCGGGAGCCACCUGGAUCAGAAAUAAUUGACUUUAACGCGCCAAAUAAAUAUUUUAUUGAUUUUUCUUAGACUAAAAUAACAAAACAUUGUGUUUAUUUUGUGUAAUUAAAAAUGAACUGACGCAUCAAACUGGAUUUUAAAGAUAAAACAGUAAACUUACUUAAAUUAUAAUGUCCUGGUUUUAUUCUAAUAAAUUGCCCGCGCGCCCUGCCACGAGCGCACUGGCGCGAGCGCAAUCCCUCCCGCGAGCCGCCCUCCGUGUUUUGCAGCUUGCCGCUCUCUGAUGGAAAGCUCUGAAUAACAAAGACAUGUUUGAGAGAAGCAGCAGCGGCGGCGGCAUCAGUAGCAGCAGCAGGCUGGGCUGAGCGCUGACGUCAAGGAGCCAUGACUGAGCCAAACAUCACACACACACACACACACACACACACACACACACACGCGCACACACACACGCGCACACACACACCCUGCUGGUAGUGGCUCUUCAAAGUUCUGAUCGGGGUCAGUUUGGAGUCUACACACGCUUACAUAAAAACAUCCACAUGAACUC